UACGGAGGGUGCAAACGUUGCUCGGAAUCAUUGGGCGUAAAGCGCACGUAGGCGGACCGCUAAGUCGGAUGUGAAAGCCCUCGGCUUAACCGAGGAAGUGCAUUCGAAACUGACGGUCUUGAGUAUGGAAGAGGGUCGCGGAAUUCCCGGUGUAGAGGUGAAAUUCGUAGAUAUCGGGAGGAACACCAGUGGCGAAGGCGGCGACCUGGGCCAAUACUGACGCUGAAGCACGAAAGCGUGGGGAGCAAACAGG
Molecule: ribosomal RNA, 253 nt
Filed under: uncultured bacterium
Lineage: Bacteria
Description: partial 16S ribosomal RNA
Rfam family: Bacterial small subunit ribosomal RNA
Source: RNAcentral